CUACGUGCCAGCAGCCGCGGUAAUACGGAAGGUCCAGGCGUUAUCCGGAUUUAUUGGGUUUAAAGGGAGUGUAGGCGGUUUGUUAAGCGUGUUGUGAAAUUUAGGUGCUCAACAUUUAACUUGCAGCGCGAACUGGCGAACUUGAGUGCACACAACGUAUGCGGAAUUCAUGGUGUAGCGGUGAAAUGCUUAGAUAUCAUGAAGAACUCCGAUUGCGAAGGCAGCAUACGGGAGUGUAACUGACGCUUAAGCUCGAAGGUGCGGGUAUCGAACAGGAUUAGAUACCCUGGUAGUCCGCACAGUAAACGAUGGAUGCCCGCUGUUAGCGCCUGGCGUUAGCGGCUAAGCGAAAGCAUUAAGCAUCCCACCUGGGGAGUACGCCGGCAACGGUGAAACUCAAAGGAAUUGACGGGGGCCCGCACAAGCGGAGGAACAUGUGGUUUAAUUCGAUGAUACGCGAGGAACCUUACCCGGGCU
This 477-nucleotide ribosomal RNA is filed under the name uncultured bacterium. RNAcentral describes it as "bacterial SSU rRNA". It matches the Rfam family "Bacterial small subunit ribosomal RNA", at positions 501 to 981 of the family's 1533-position model. The record is from RNAcentral.